GAUCAAAUGCGUUGUAGUUAAGAUUAUUCCAACUAAGAGUACAUCACAGAAGUUAAGAGCAGAUGGACCAGUUUUUAUGGAAAAGCACAGCUGUAUGGAGUAAUGAAGAAGAUCCUGAAGCCUCCACAUAUGCACGAUGAUGUGAAAAAUGCCAUCGCCAUGUUUAGAGCUCUGCAAUCCAUGUUUCCUUCACUUUCUCUACCCCCAAAAAAGCUGGGAAACAAAACAUGAGGCAUUAGUUCAUGGCCUUAAGACCUCCGAGAAUCCUGAUGCCUUUCUACAGCAAAGACUGACCACUGACUAGCGCUGCCCUUAUUGUGGACCAAGAUAACUUCAUGCUAGCUAUUGGAAGUGACCAUUUGACAACUUUCCCUCAAGAAAUGUUGCAGGAAGGUAUCAUGUACCUUAUGGCAUACUAUUAUGCACUACAUCUAACAUAUCCUAAGUGCAUUGCCGCUGUCCUCUCUGCAAUUCAAACUGAAACAUUACAGGACACAAUUUGAAGGGAAAAUGCAAAUAUGCUAGAAGG
This is a long non-coding RNA of Erpetoichthys calabaricus (reedfish), 529 nucleotides long. RefSeq lists it as uncharacterized. NCBI's taxonomy places the organism in Eukaryota, Metazoa, Chordata, Cladistia, Polypteriformes, Polypteridae. The transcript has 3 exons. The record is from RefSeq and is a predicted model, not a curated record.